RNAcentral lists this long non-coding RNA (363 nucleotides) under Phasianus colchicus (ring-necked pheasant). RNAcentral describes it as "lncRNA (ENSPCLG00000017748.1)". The record is from RNAcentral. Lineage: Eukaryota; Metazoa; Chordata; Aves; Galliformes; Phasianidae.
GUUGUGGGUUGGGGUCGAAGGCGGUCGUUUGGGGGUCAAAGGUCCCAUGUUUGGGGUCAAAGGUCAUCGUUGGGGUCAAAGGUCGUGGGUUGGGGGGUCAAAGGUCGUGAUUUUGGGGUCAGAGGUCUUGUGUUUGGGGUCAAUGGUCCCAUAUUUGGGGUCAAAGGUCAUCAUUUUGGGGUUCAAAGGUCAUCAUUGUAGGACACCAAGGUCAACGUUGAGGGUCAGAGGUCAACACUGGGGGUCAAAGGUCACAAUUUUCGGGACAAAGGUCGUGGGUUGGGGGUCAAAGGUCAACACUGGGGGUCAAAGGUCGACGUUUUGGAGUCCAAGGUCCCAUAUCCGAGGUCAAAGGUCACAGAU